UUCCGGUUGAUCCCGCCGGAGGUUACUGCUAUCGGUGUUCGCCUAAGCCAUGCGAGUCAUAUGUAGCAAUACAUGGCGUACUGCUCAGUAACACGUGGAUAACCUGCCCUUGGGUCCGGCAUAACCCCGGGAAACUGGGGAUAAUUCCGGAUAACGCACAUAUGCUGGAAUGCUUUAUGCGUCAAAUGGAUUCGUCUGCCCAAGGAUGGGUCUGCGGCCUAUCAGGUAGUAGUGGGUGUAAUGUACCUACUAGCCGACAACGGGUACGGGUUGUGAGAGCAAGAGCCCGGAGAUGGAUUCUGAGACAUGAAUCCAGGCCCUACGGGGCGCAGCAGGCGCGAAAACUUUACAAUGCGGGAAACCGUGAUAAGGGGACACCGAGUGUCAGCAUCAUAUGCUGGCUGUCCAGGUGUGUAAAAUACACCUGUUAGCAAGGGCCGGGCAAGACCGGUGCCAGCCGCCGCGGUAACACCGGCGGCCCGAGUGGUGAUCGUGAUUAUUGGGUCUAAAGGGUCCGUAGCCGGUUUGGUCAGUCCUCCGGGAAAUCUGAUAGCUCAACUAUUAGGCUAUCGGGGGAUACUGCCAGGCUUGGAACCGGGAGAGGUAAGAGGUACUACAGGGGUAGGAGUGAAAUCUUGUAAUCCCUGUGGGACCACCUGUGGCGAAGGCGUCUUACCAGAACGGGUUCGACGGUGAGGGACGAAAGCUGGGGGCACGAACCGGAUUAGAUACCCGGGUAGUCCCAGCCGUAAACGAUGCUCGCUAGGUGUCAGCAUGGCGCGACCGUGUCUGGUGCCGCAGGGAAGCCGUGAAGCGAGCCACCUGGGAAGUACGGCCGCAAGGCUGAACUUAAAGGAAUUGGCGGGGGAGCAC
Molecule: ribosomal RNA, 873 nt
Filed under: uncultured Methanosarcina sp.
Lineage: Archaea; Methanobacteriati; Methanobacteriota; Methanomicrobia; Methanosarcinales; Methanosarcinaceae
Description: bacterial SSU rRNA
Rfam family: Archaeal small subunit ribosomal RNA
Source: RNAcentral